Molecule: ribosomal RNA, 177 nt
Filed under: Pleosporales sp. 4791a
Lineage: Eukaryota; Fungi; Ascomycota; Dothideomycetes; Pleosporales
Description: partial 18S ribosomal RNA
Rfam family: Eukaryotic small subunit ribosomal RNA
Source: RNAcentral
UUUGUACACACCACGCCCGUCGCUACUACCGAUUGAAUGGCUCAGUGAGGCUUUCGGACUGGCUUAGGGAGGUUGGCAACGACCACCCCGAGCCGGAAAGUUCGUCAAACUCGGUCAUUUAGAGGAAGUAAAAGUCGUAACAAGGUUUCCGUAGGUGAACCUUCGGAAGGAUCAUUA